Molecule: ribosomal RNA, 490 nt
Filed under: uncultured bacterium
Lineage: Bacteria
Description: partial 16S ribosomal RNA
Rfam family: Bacterial small subunit ribosomal RNA
Source: RNAcentral
AUUGAACGCUGGCGGCAGGCCUAACACAUGCAAGUCGAACGGUAACAGGAAGAAGCUUGCUUCUUUGCUGACGAGUGGCGGACGGGUGAGUAAUGUCUGGGAAACUGCCUGAUGGAGGGGGAUAACUACUGGAAACGGAAGCUAAUACCGCAUAACGUCGCAAGACCAAAGAGGGGGACCUUCGGGCCUCUUGCCAUCGGAUGUGCCCAGAUGGGAUUAGCUAGUAGGUGGGGUAACGGCUCACCUAGGCGACGAUCCCUAGCUGGUCUGAGAGGAUGACCAGCCACACUGGAACUGAGACACGGUCCAGACUCCUACGGGAGGCAGCAGUGGGGAAUAUUGCACAAUGGGCGCAAGCCUGAUGCAGCCAUGCCGCGUGUAUGAAGAAGGCCUUCGGGUUGUAAAGUACUUUCAGCGGGGAGGAAGGGAGUAAAGUUAAUACCUUUACUCAUUGACGUUACCCGCAGAAGAAGCACCGGCUAACUCCGUG